This 846-nucleotide ribosomal RNA is filed under the name uncultured Actinomycetales bacterium. RNAcentral describes it as "bacterial SSU rRNA". It matches the Rfam family "Bacterial small subunit ribosomal RNA", at positions 8 to 882 of the family's 1533-position model. The record is from RNAcentral. Lineage: Bacteria; Bacillati; Actinomycetota; Actinomycetes; Actinomycetales.
AGAGUUUGAUCAUGGCUCAGGACGAACGCUGGCGGCGUGCUUAACACAUGCAAGUCGAGCGAAAGGCCACUUCGGUGGUACUCGAGCGGCGAACGGGUGAGUAACACGUGAGUAAUCUGCCCUGGCUUUGGGAUAGCCACCGGAAACGGUGAUUAAUACCGAAUAUGACCACGUACUGAUGGUGUGUGGUGGAAAGUUUUUCGGCCAGGGAUGUGCUCGCGGCCUAUCAGCUUGAUGUGAGGUAAUGGCUCACCAUGGCUUCGACGGGUAGCCGGCCUGAGAGGGUGACCGGUCACCUGGGACUGAGACACGGCCCAGACUCCUACGGGAGGCAGCAGUGGGGAAUAUUGGACAAGGGCGGAAGCCUGAUCCAGCAACGCCGCGUGAGGGAUGACGGCCUUCGGGUUGUAAACCCUUUCAGUACCGACGAAGCGCAAGUGACGGUAGGUACAGAAGAAGCACCGGCCAACUACUGCCAGCAGCCGCGGUAAUACGUAGGGUGCGAGCGUUGUCCGGAAUUAUUGGGCGUAAAGGCUCGUAGGCGGUUUGUCGCGUCGGGAGUGAAAACGCCGUGCUUAACACGGCGCUUGCUCCGAUACGGGCAGACUAGAGGUAUGCAGGGGAGAACGGAAUUCCUGGUGUAGCGGUGAAUGCGCAGAUAUCAGGAGGAACACCGGUGGCGAAGGCGGUUCUCUGGGCAUUACCUGACCUGAGGAGCGAAAGUGUGGGGAGCGAACAGGAUUAGAUACCCUGGUAGUCCACACCGUAACGUUGGGCGCUAGGUGUGGGGUCCAUUCCACGGAUUCCGUGCCGCAGCUAACGCAUUAGCGCCCCGCCUGGGGAGUA